Long non-coding RNA from Spinacia oleracea (spinach), 315 nucleotides. RefSeq lists it as uncharacterized. The transcript is spliced from 2 exons. Lineage: Eukaryota; Viridiplantae; Streptophyta; Magnoliopsida; Caryophyllales; Amaranthaceae. The record is from RefSeq and is a predicted model, not a curated record.
CUGACCUCCUUGUGAAGAUCCCAUAUAAAAGGAAAGACUCGCAGAAAUCAGAGGUCUAUACUCCGAGGAAUGCGCCUUAUGUUAGUGAGGAAAUUGAUGUGGUUCGUGAGCAAUGGGCUAAGUUUUUUACGAGCAAGUAUUUAUUAUUAAUGGCAUGAGCGAUCGAGUUGGUUUAGAUGUUAUAGAAUAAUAUUUUAUAUUAAAAUGUAUGCGUACGUUGAAAUUGAAACAUAUAAUUAAAUGUAGUACGUGCACUUUGGAUAUGUAUACAAAACACCAAUUAUUGUUUUUAUAUUUGUUCUACAGAUUGCGAUA